This is a non-coding RNA of Danionella cerebrum, 73 nucleotides long. The record is from the annotation of a GenBank genome assembly. NCBI's taxonomy places the organism in Eukaryota, Metazoa, Chordata, Actinopteri, Cypriniformes, Danionidae.
GUUUCUAUAGUGUAGGGGUUAUUACUUUUGUCUAACAAUCAAAAGGUCCCUAGUUUGAAACUGGGUGAAAACA